GAUGAAUGCUGGCGGCGUGCCUAACACAUGCCAGUCGAGCGGCAGCGAGUUUUACACUGAAUUCUGGAAGCUUCUGAGUAGUACAGAAGAUUUAUUCAAGAGUUUUGUGUAAAAUGUCGGCGAGCGGCGGACGGCUGAGUAACGCGUAGGAAUUUGCCCCAAAGUGAGGAAUAACUGCCCGAAAGGGUAGCUAAUGCCGCAUAUGGUCUUCGGAUUAAAGCCUUCGGGCGCUUUGGGAGAAGCCUGCGUUGGAUUAGGUAGUUGGUAGGGUAAUGGCCUACCAAGCCGACGAUCCAUAGCUGGUCUGAGAGGAUGAUCAGCCAGACUGGAGCUGAGACACGGUCCAGACUCCUACGGGAGGCAGCAGUGAGGAAUCUUCCACAAUGGGCGAAAGCCUGAUGGAGCAACGCCGCGUGAAGGAUGAAGGCCUUCGGGUUGUAAACUUCUUUUAUGAGUGAAGAAUAUGACGGUAACUCAUGAAUAAGCACCGGCUAACUACGUG
Molecule: ribosomal RNA, 502 nt
Filed under: uncultured bacterium
Lineage: Bacteria
Description: partial 16S ribosomal RNA
Rfam family: Bacterial small subunit ribosomal RNA
Source: RNAcentral